GAUGAACGCUGGCGGCGUGCCUAAUACAUGCAAGUCGAGCGAACAGACUAGGAGCUUGCUCCUCUGACGUUAGCGGCGGACGGGUGAGUAACACGUGGAUAACCUACCUAUAAGACUGGGAUAACUUCGGGAAACCGGAGCUAAUACCGGAUAAUAUAUUGAACCGCAUGGUUCAAUAGUGAAAGACGGUUUUGCUGUCACUUAUAGAUGGAUCCGCGCCGCAUUAGCUAGUUGGUAAGGUAACGGCUUACCAAGGCAACGAUGCGUAGCCGACCUGAGAGGGUGAGCGGCCACACUGGAACAGAGACACGGUCCAGACGCCUACGGGAGGCAGCAGUAGGGAAUCUUCGGCAAUGGGCGAAAGCUUGACAGAGCAACGCCGCGUGAGUGAUGAAGGUCUUCGGAUCGUAAAACUCUGUUAUUAGGGAAGAACAAAUGUGUAAGUAACUAUGCACGUCUUGACGGUACCUAAUCAGAAAGCCACGGCUAACUACGUG
RNAcentral lists this ribosomal RNA (497 nucleotides) under uncultured bacterium. Its description in RNAcentral is "partial 16S ribosomal RNA". It matches the Rfam family "Bacterial small subunit ribosomal RNA", at positions 28 to 507 of the family's 1533-position model. The record is from RNAcentral.